AAAUGUCCAUGUUGACCACGUACACUUCUUGUCUUUCUCUGGCAUCAUCUUGAGAGCUGGCCGUAUGAUAUGAGGGCAGGAAUUAAUGUUUGUGUGCAUCUAAGUACUUUUGUUAGAUCUCUAAGCCUAAAAUUGGCAAUACAUCUGCACUGGAGCCCAAACUACCAAUCCACACCGUGUUUCACCAGCCAACUACCAAUCCACGCCGUGUUCCACCAGCGAGCUACCAAUCCACGCCGUGUUCCACCAGCGAGCUACCAAUCCACGCCGUGUUCCACCAUGAGCUACCAAUCCACGCCGUGUUCCACCAGUGAGCUACCAAUCCACGCCGUGUUCCACCAUGAACUAAUCUAUGCUUUGCAGCAAUUCCUCACUGACGAUACUGGCAUAGACAUUAUCUGCCCUGUGCUACCACCAGCAAACCAUUAUCAUAGGUCUGAAAGUCAUCACAUUUAGGCUGGACAUGGUGGCUCAUGCCUAUAAUCCCAGCCCUUGGGGAGGCCAAGGCAGGAGAAUAACUUGAGGCCAAGAGUUGAAGACCAGCCUGGACAACAUAGUGAGACCCUAUCUCUACAAAAUUCAAAUAAAAUAAAUUAGCCAGGUGUGGUGGCACAAGCCUGUAGUCCCAGCUACUCAGGAAGCUGUGGGAGGAUCACUUGAGCCCAGGAGGUUGAGGCUGCAGUGAGCUGAGAUGACAGCACUGCACUACAGCCUGGGUGACAGAGCGAGGUCCUGCCUCAAAAAAAAAAAAAAAAA
RNAcentral lists this long non-coding RNA (756 nucleotides) under Macaca fascicularis (crab-eating macaque). Its description in RNAcentral is "lncRNA (ENSMFAG00000051043.1)". The record is from RNAcentral. Lineage: Eukaryota; Metazoa; Chordata; Mammalia; Primates; Cercopithecidae.